CAAGGUCAUUGACCUUGGUGUCAGUUGAAAGUGCCUAAUUAGUGGAGUAUGCAUACCAAAUAUGAAGUCUCUAUCUCUCACGGUUCAGAAGUUAUGGCGAAAGUUCGAAAAAGCUAUUUUUAGCAUAAAGGUCACAAUCAAGGUCAUAAGGUCAUUGAUCUUGGUGUCAGUUGAAAGUGUUUUUGUAGUGAAGUAUCCAUACCAAAUAUGAAGUCUCUAAGUCUCACGGUUCAAAAGUUAUGGCGAAGGUUAAAGUUGACAACAGACAAACAAACAGACAGACAUACAGCUAAACAGACAGACAGGACAAAAACAAUAUGCACCCCGAAAAAAAUUUGGGUGCAUAAAAACUGUCUUGGAGUUAACAGCAGUUCUCUGUUUCUCCUGAAUGUUAUGAACAAUUUGAUCGGGAUCGGAAGAAUGUUUCAAAAAGUCGGGCUCAGUGAUCAAUUAAUUUAAACAACAGACCGCCAAAAUUUAACCUUGGCCUCCAUGUUGCAACGUCUGCUCUGUCUAAAGGAGGAAGUUUGUUGACCAAACAGCCUGAGAUCGUAUUGCUGUAUCAACCAAAAGAUGCAGAUACACGUAUUUCAUAUGCGCGUCUGUGCAUGAGGAGAUUUCUGAAAAAGAAUAAGUGCUUGUUCAACUUACUGCGAUUUUAACGGGCUUAAAGCUUGGUCCAUGGAUGGUUAUGUUUGAGGAUUUGCCAAUUCGACCGCAAGUGCUGCUGCAAGAAAUUAAACAUGCAGAGACCUUACAAAUUACAAAGAAGUCUGAAGAAAAUUUUUAUUGGACAGAUGGGUGUAAAGCACAGACCUUAGAUAUAAAUUGAAUUGUGAGAAAUAUGAAUCAGGGAUGCAGGUAGAAAAUGGCAAAUGUGAUCCAGAUUGAUAAAAAAUGUCUAAAAAAAUUUCUUGUUUUGUAAAUAUUCAAUGCUAUGUCAAUUGUUAUUUUUUCCCCAAUAUCUAAUAGUGUUGAACAUUUCACUCCCACUUUUGCUUAAAUAGAAUGAAUAAAUUUCCAUUUAUUUAAUAUGAAUAUUAAAAAAUGCCACAUUUUUUCCAUGAUGAACUUGUGGCUUAAAUAAGAGUUCCAGUUUUUUUUCCAUACAUGCUCCUCUUUGUUUGUCAAAGAUAUAAGAUCCAAUACAUUGCUCAUGAACAUAAUGUGUAAUUUUGUUCAUUCAUUUAUAUGUUUUUUUCUCAUAAUAUAAUAAAUUGUAUAUAAUGUUGCACAUUGUUGAUGGUUUUGUAAAUAUUUAUGUAUGUAUGCAUCAUGUAGCGGUUUUAUUAGCCAUUUUAUAACCAUGUGAUUAACUCCGUAUUUUCUCCAGAUUUCCGUAUUUCCGCAUUUUAUCAACCAAGUAAAUACCUCCAUAUUUUGUAUAUAUGGAAAUGCGGAAAUCUGGAGAGAAUACGGAAAAAGAGUCCAAAUACUCCCAUCCACAUUUUCUCCAUAUUUUGAAUAUGGAGAAAAUCUGGAAAUUUGAAUAUACGAAAAUCUGGAAUGAAUGCGGAAAAUUAGUCCAAAUACUCCCGUCCGCAUUUUUUCCUUAUUUUGAAUAAGGAAAAAAUGUGGAGAUCUGAGGUGC
Molecule: long non-coding RNA, 1591 nt
Organism: Saccostrea cuccullata (small rock oyster)
Lineage: Eukaryota; Metazoa; Mollusca; Bivalvia; Ostreida; Ostreidae
Exons: 3
Source: RefSeq, a predicted model, not a curated record